GGGAGGGAAUUGAUCUUUGCUUGGACUUAAAGAUGGAGCCGAAGGAGCCGGAGGGAAUUUGGGUCUGUGUGUCUGGCUCAGACCCUAGGCGCUGAGGGGGGCCGCUGGGCACCAAGCCCGAGGUCUUUUUUCCCCGGCGCCCUUCGUCCCGCGACCUGGCAGGAAUCCGUGGGCUGAAGAGCGCCCGGGCUGAGCCACCUGCCCCAGGCCGGGCUGCAGAGAAAGUCUUCGAGCUGGGGGCCGUCCCGUCCCUGUCUUUAAAAUGAGCGCAAUAAAAGGGGGCAAAUCCUCCAACGCGAACCUGAUCGCAUGUCACAGAAGCAACUUGCCAUGAAAUCCGCUAAUGCGCCGCGACUCGCCUACCAGGCAUGUAGCCACAGCAAAUUAUUGCUCAUUUGAUACCAAGAAUUCUAUUGACCAUCGCUUUCGUUGGAAAGAGAAUUCUAACUACUAGCUGCUCUCUAGUCAGUCAGCUGAGGCUGAGAACACUACACAACUAAAACAAGUAAAUUGAGCCCUCUGCCUCCAGGAAUUGAUGGAGAUGUGUUCAUUACAUUGGGCCACGUGAACAUGCAUAGAAAUCUGCUUUUUGCUCUGCCAGUUGGAAUUGCCCCCACGCAGUCAAAAGGUCGGCCCCUUUGCAAUAGAACUGUCUAAUUGGAGGGCUGGACAUUGGUUUGCCUCUCCGGUAUCCCUUCUGGCAACUCCUUUUCAGCUCUGGCCAGGUUGGGCAAUGAAAUGAUGCAUUAGAAGAUUGCUCCUUGGUUCUUUAGUCAAAGUUACACCAACGUGGACACAGAGAAAUCAUUAAAACUGCCUCUCCUUUAGGAAAAAAAGAAGAAGAAAGAAAGAAAACUCCUAAAAUGUCUAGAUGAGUGAUGUUAUGGUCUAGACAUAAUUUCCUAAAUAAAAUUGCUCCAUUCCCACCCCCUCAAAACUCCACAUCAAUUAUAUAGAGAGACUAAAUUGGCGGGGGACUGGGAAGCUCUGAGAUCUGCGUCUGUUCUCUCUGGUCGACAAGGGGCAUCCAGCCUUAAUUACAGGGGAGACCACUCCAGCGCUCGCUUCAGCCGGUGGUGCAGAGAAGUCCGCGCCUAGAAAAGGCCUGACCUUCUACGAUCCAGGCUGGAGAGGGAGGUUGUCCGGUGAAGAUGCUGGAGAAAGAUCUGGGAGAGUAAAGGAAGAGGCCGGGUUUGUUCCCUGAGAAGCUAGUGGCAGAACCUGUCUUCAGGCUGAAAGAAGCUGGUGCUACCCCACAGCAGGAACCACUCGACGCUUGGACCUUUGGGGUGUCUUCCCCAUCUCCACGGCGGCCUACUCAGACCUUUCUGUAGGGACCAAUGCGUCCUCCAUUCAGGAGUCUGAGAGAAAGGCAACCCGACUCUGGGGCUGCGCUGGCCCGUCCAAGACAGGUACAAAAACAGAAAGAGGAGCAUGUUUGGGGGAAACGCUGUCAAAUUUCUAAGGAACCAAGGAUCCACGUCUGUGUUUCUCCUUAAACCUUCGAUACCAAGAGGAGAACAAGGUAACCUUGAAGAAGCCAUGCCCGUGGAGAUUCCGUGGAAGAGAUGGUUGGGUUUCAUUUCCAUAACUACCUAGAGAUAAGCCUUCUCAGUUGGGUUCCGGAACAAAAAUAAAGACCAAUUACCGAUUUCACAAAUGAAUCCCCCACGUUUGCAGCCCGCAAAAAGCAUCAACUCUCAAUUGAAAGGCGUGCUUAGGGGCUUUAAGGGACCCGGCUUUGUAGUUAUUUUUCUAAUGAUGUUGUUACAUGUGCGUGAAACCCCUGGCACUCUUGCGUGCCACUUUCCAUGACCCUUCGCAGUAGGGGAGCCACUUUGUUCCAGUGUGGGCAGUGAACUAGUAGGAGUGUGUGCUGCACAUGCUGGACGCUCACCUGAGAGUAGUAGACUGAGUAGAUUCUGAAUUGGUUUGAGAAUUAUGGGAAAUGUAAGAUGAAAUACACACUGUGGGGUUUUUGUUUUUGUUUUCUUAAUUUUUCUAUUUUGUUUUAACGAACAUAAAUAACCUCGGGCUCCGGUGUAACCACUCCUCCCAAACGCAGCCUGGAAUGUGCAUAUUACCCACAACACUUGAAGAUUCCAGCCCAGUGGUUUUGGAAACCCCUUUUCUGGAUUCCAGCCUGGACUCUGAUAACCACUCAAUCCUCCAUCCUCCAGGGGAAGAGAACCCACCUGGGCCAAGCCAAGCAGCAGAAGCUACACAAUCAAAAGCACACACAGGGAUCCUGUGGUAGGUAGGAUCUGAGGCUGGAUGCCGAUCUGGAAGGCCAUCUGAGCUAGCCAGAAAGUGUCUGACACUACUGGAAACCAGAAACCAAUAAGACAGCAACACCCUAAAGUCAUUGUGGGGAACAAGACCUGGAACCUUGGUUUGAGUUGAAAAGUUAGGAGCCAGGGACAGAUCACCCAGCAUUUCUUUGGAAUAGGGCAGUACUGAGAACUACCUAGCUACACUGGCAUUGCAGCAGAUUAGAGAUUAGGAAAUUUAUUCUCCUCCUACAUACAGCAAGACACAAAUCCUUCAACCUGGAGCCCACCUCUGUGCAGGGAGCAUCUGGCUCCGCCCCCACCCCCAUUACACUUUCCAACUGCCCUGCCCAACUAGCCUUCUCCAGGUUUUGCCAGGCAAAUGAAGCAAGCAGUACUCGAUAGUAAAUUAUUUUGUUCAGGCUUCUGUCUUUUUAUGAAAAUAAAAGCCAACACUUUGUCAUUUUUAAUCACAUAAGCAGACAAUAAAUCUAAUUUCGAUAUUGAUUUUUUUCCAGAA
Sciurus carolinensis (gray squirrel) is the source of this 2790-nucleotide long non-coding RNA. RefSeq lists it as uncharacterized. The record is from RefSeq and is a predicted model, not a curated record. Lineage: Eukaryota; Metazoa; Chordata; Mammalia; Rodentia; Sciuridae. The transcript is spliced from 3 exons.